Molecule: ribosomal RNA, 498 nt
Filed under: uncultured bacterium
Lineage: Bacteria
Description: partial 16S ribosomal RNA
Rfam family: Bacterial small subunit ribosomal RNA
Source: RNAcentral
GAUGAACGCUAGCGGCAGGCCUAAUACAUGCAAGUCGAGGGAGAAUGUUGGAUUCGUCUGACAUGAAACCGGCGCACGGGUGCGUAACACGUAUGCAAUCUACCUUUAACUGGGGUAUAGCUCAGAGAAAUCUGAAUUAAUCCCCCAUAAGACUACGACAUGGCAUCAUGAUGUAGUUAAAGCUCCGGCGGUUAAGGAUGGGCAUGCGGUACGUUAGCUAGUUGGUGAGGUAAUGGCUCACCAAGGCUACGAUGUAUAGGGGGUCUGAGAGGAGGAUCCCCCACACUGGUACUGAGAAACGGACCAGACUCCUACGGGGGGCAGCAGUAGGGAAUAUUGGUCAAUGGACGAAAGUCUGAACCAGCCAUGCCGCGUGAAGGAUGAAGGCCCUAUGGGUCGUAAACUUCUUUUAUUAGGGAAGAAAAAACGGGAUGCGUCCUGUACUGACGGUACUUAAUGAAUAAGGAUCGGCUAACUUCGUGCCAGCCGCCGCAGUAA